This 303-nucleotide ribosomal RNA is filed under the name uncultured bacterium. RNAcentral's name for it is "partial 16S ribosomal RNA". It matches the Rfam family "Bacterial small subunit ribosomal RNA", at positions 507 to 807 of the family's 1533-position model. The record is from RNAcentral.
AGCAGUAGCCGCGGUAAAACGUAGGUGGCAAGCGUUGUCCGGAAUUAUUGGGCGUAAAGGGCUCGCAGGCGGUUUCUUAAGUCUGAUGUGAAAGCCCCCGGCUCAACCGGGGAGGGUCAUUGGAAACUGGGAAACUUGAGUGCAGAAGAGGAGAGUGGAAUUCCACGUGUAGCGGUGAAAUGCGUAGAGAUGUGGAGGAACACCAGUGGCGAAGGCGACUCUCUGGUCUGUAACUGACGCUGAGGAGCGAAAGCGUGGGGAGCGAACAGGAUUAGAGACCCCUGUAGUCCCUGUCUCUUAUAC